This 2541-nucleotide long non-coding RNA is filed under the name Marmota monax (woodchuck). The record is from RNAcentral. Lineage: Eukaryota; Metazoa; Chordata; Mammalia; Rodentia; Sciuridae.
GGGGAGCCGGGGAGCCGGCGGCGGUGGGGGCCGCUGUCCGCCCCAGAGGAGGCGUUGGCCUUCCUGAUGCUGGGGACGGAAGCGCCCACGUGGAAAAGGAGGCCAGCAAGAAGACGAAACGGUGUGUGAGAUAAAACGGAUCCACCCAAAUAGAGCGCAGUCUCCUCUGACCCGCCAGUGGGGGAGCGGGUGGGGUGGACGGCUGCCACGCGGAUCUCGGACCCAGCCUGUUAUUAUUAACUAAUGAAAGCGGAUUGAUGCUCACCCUUUUUGAGGAGUAAAGCGCUUACUGUGACUGAGCUGGGGAACCAAGGCAAACAACUUUCUCCCACACUUCUCAUGUGCAAACUGCAUUAGGAAGGAAAAAAGAGGAACAGCCGAAACUCUGGACGCUUUCAAUUCCCUGGGGCAGACGUGGAACGUGCACAGAAGGCAACCGGGAAUGCAAACCGUAGUUUACUAGCCUUGGUGAAGAGUUAGCUGACUCAUUAGUCCUCUCAAACCCCUGUGAAGAGUAUGCUGAUCCCCAUUUUUCUAAAUUUCACAAAUUGAAUAGCUCAGGCUCAAAGGAGUAAAAUAAUUUGGCAAACUGGAGACCCAGGAUUUAAAUACGUGCAGCGUGGCUCCAACGUUUGUUCCAUUAAGCUUUACAGUGCACUGCCUCUGCACAUCGACACCUCGCGUUCCGACUUCCUCCCAGAAGAAGGAUUUACACAUGGAAGCUCCAAUCUCAAAAAGAACAAAUAUGAAACCAAAUUUCAGCUAAAGGCAGAAAAUAUACAAAGUAGGAUAUGGAAAUAACGCCAGGCAGGAAUGGUUUUAAAAGACUAAAGAAAAGUCAAAAAGAAACGCACCUGUCUUAGUUACACUCAACUGCCACCUGGACAGUUUUACUGCCCUCAUUUAACUGAUGCUUCAGAAUUUUUUUUUUCUGCACCUUUACAAAGAGUAAUUUCAAUUGUCUUUUUCUAGUUACUCUUAAUCUCUUAGUAAGGCUAGAACCCCCACAAAGAUUCAGGUUUGCUGCAUCCAAACUUCCAACUUGUCCAAAAGGGAAAUUGUCCCAGUACAAGUUCUCUGAACAAGAAAUUACCUAGAUAUGACUCAGAUUCCCCAAACCAAACUGAAACUAAACUGCCCUGGAGCUGAGGUGAAAGGGUUGAGAGGGAGGUAAAAUGCACUCUGACCUUCAUCUGACCAGGUGAGGGCUUCAGGGAUAUGGAAGUGUGUGUCUCUACUUCCUUCCCAUUCCUAAGAGCAAGUGUACCCUGUAACUACAAGUGCACAUGAGGCAGCAUCAUAAAAAUGAAUUCCUUAUUUUAGAGCCUGUCUAUUGCAAAGGCUUUUAGUCUUGUCAAAAUCGGUAAACUCUCUGACAUUUCCUGUGGAUCACUAAGUUGGCACAGCCAGGCUCACCAUCUUCCAGUCACCUACAUUUUUCAUCAGCAGGCCAAGGUAAGGAUACCAGCGGGUGCCUCCAGAGAAUUCAAGUAUUGCUCUAACAAUGCAAGCCUUCUAAUAAUUGUUUAUGUUUAUGUUUAUGGAGACCCAGGAUUUAAAUACGUGCAGCGUGGCUCCAGCGUUUGUUCCAUUAAGCUUUACAGUGCUUUAACUUUUUACUUUGAAAUAAUCUUAGAUUCACAGGAAGUUGCCAAGAUAGUAGUCUCAGUGCUCUGCCGCAGAGUACACUCCCACCUUGUUUCUGUUUUUGAGAGGGGGUCUCGAUGAAUUGCCCAGACUGUCCUUAAACUUGUGAUCCUCCUGCCUCUUGAGUAGCUGGGAUUACCAGUGUGCGCCAACAUGCUUGCCUUCUCAGAUCUUAUGUGGGCUCCUUGCAUCUAGAAAUCAAAUUAAUUAAAGACUGAUUAAUAAUAGUACACAAUUUUAUUAAAUUUCCAUGUACAUGAGGACCUUCAAAACACAGUGAAUUCUGAAGGAGUGGCCAAAGCUCAAUGCUUUUAUACUUUUUAGACAAAGAACAACAAACUUGGGAAGGAAGGAGAAGCCAAAUCAACCUCCAGCCUAGGAUAAAUCCCAGUGAUGUCACUAAGAGAGGAAGUGUAAAAACAAGUUGGAGUGGGAUGGGAUUAGGAAAGACAGUAAAAUUAACUGGGCAUUACUUUCCUAUGUUCAUCUAUGAAUACAUGACCAGUGAAACUCCACAUCAUGUUCAACCAUGAGAUCCUGAUUAAAAUAAGUUAUGUCCUAUACAUGUUUCAUAUGUCAAAAUACACUCUACUGUCAUGUCUAUCUAAAAAGAACAAAUAAAAAAUUAGAAAAUUAAAAAAAAAAAAACGAUUGGAAGACCAGAGCUCCUUUCACCAGCUUACUUGCCCAAGUUUGUUGCAGCCUCUCAGCACUUCUCUGGUGAUCAAGGCUGCUUUCCAUGUUGGAAUGGAAGAGACAGCCCCCCAUUUUACCCGGAGGUGUAACUUUAAAUUGUUACAAAGAAUGCAAUUAUACAGACUAUUAUAAUAUUGAAAUUUUAAAAUAAAACUUUAACAUUGCUCUUAAACAUAUUCAAUGGGAUCUAAAUACUAU